UCACUAUUUCUAGUUCAGCUAGAAUAAUAUCUGGUUGCUAGUGUAAUAUCCGGUCGUCAAUACUAUAAUAAAAUUAACCCAAAAAAAGCAUGUUUCCCUCAAUUUUUCCCCACUCACCCCUCUAAAUAGAUUUUAAAAAUAAAGAAAAACCUAACAAACGGCUUAGCAGUAGAAACUGCCAAGUCUUCAUCUCGCAGCCUCAAAAUUCUCAAUCAUUAUUAGGGUGUGCCUGUGUUUGAAAUGUGUGGAAUAAAUUGUAUUACCUGGGAAAAUAAUUUUUCUAUGUGUUUUGUAAUACCUGGGAAAAUAAUUUUUUGUAAUUGGAUAGUCUCUUAUGCUUUCACUUUAUUUCUUAUGUGUGGAAUUUUUUGAAUAAGCUUCAAAAUUUUACUUGGCAGCGUAGGAAUAAGAUCGAGACUCUGUUGCUACAAGUCAGAGGCAUGGAGAUAUUAUAAGAGAGCGUCAGCUGCGUUCUUGUUCAAUUUUGGAUUUCAUCUCUGCUCUUCUUGCUUUUGUUGUGAUGUUUAAUUUUUUUAAGAUUCAUCUGCGAUGGUUGUGUUAAAUUGUUGAAGGCUUACUAUCAUUACUUAGCCCUAAUUAUUUUGGAAUCUAUUGAAUCUAUUGCAAGUUUAACUGUUAUAUAUAUGUUUAAUUUUUUAAGAUUCAUCUGCGAUGGUUGUGUUAAAUUGUUGAAGGCGUACUAUCAUUACUUAGCCCUAAUUAUUUUGGAAUCUAUUGAAUCUAUUGCAAGUUUAGCUGUUAUAUAUAAUUGUCCAUACAAUUGCUCACCACCUGUUCGACUAAUUUGCUGAAUGAAUAUUAGAGCCUUAGAACUAGCAUCUUUCAUCCCCACUGCUAAACAACUUUUUUCAGUCAAUAGUUUUUGCAAUACACAUUCUAAUUUUCAGCAAUACGUAUUUGAAUAAAGAAAUAUAAUAUAAUAUUUUUAGUAUGUAUUUCUUUAGUGGUAGUAGAAUUUUAGAAUAAAAAAUUAAGCUAUAUCAAAUAGCAAUAUAUAUUCUGAAUGAAGGGAAUUAUUAAUGUUCAUUGAUGCAUAUUUACAUGCACACAAUUAUAUAGCCAGUUAAAUUACUCUAUUCAAUGUAUGAUCAAUUGAUAUAUCUAUGUUAACUGUGUUCAGGAUCAUAAAGAAAGGCUAUAAAACUGGUCCAUCCUCUCAUUUCCACUUCUGUUUCUUGGUCUCUUCCUUGCUGUGACAGGUCUGCCAUUAAACAAAUUGUUGUACACCAUUAGUUAUCUGCUGGUAACUUCAGCCGCUGCUGGAAUCACAUUUUGUUUCCUGUAUGUAUUGGUCGAUAUGUAUGGUUGGAGGCGCUUGAUGUUCGCUUUAGAGUGGAUGGGGAAGCAUUGAUUAGAAAGCUGAAGUCUGAAGAACUUGUCCGUGAAGAAAGUCCAGAGCAAGUAGCUACUGAAAAUGCUAAAGAAUAAGUUGAACUACAAGAGGAGCCUAUUUUCUCUUUUGUUAGGAGUUGUUUAAAAAUAUUUCCAAUUGUAAUGCUACAAUUCUAUUUUCUAUUUUGUUAGGUGUCGACAAACAUAUGGUCCAUUUUGGAUAGCUAUAUUUUUGGUAAUGUUUUACCCUUUGUUCCUUGUAAUUAACGGUGAAAUUUUAUAUGAAUAUCGAUUCUUUCUUA
This is a long non-coding RNA of Nicotiana attenuata, 1655 nucleotides long. RefSeq lists it as uncharacterized. The record is from RefSeq and is a predicted model, not a curated record. The transcript is spliced from 4 exons. NCBI's taxonomy places the organism in Eukaryota, Viridiplantae, Streptophyta, Magnoliopsida, Solanales, Solanaceae.